AAAGUCGUAACAAGGUUUCCGUAGGUGAACCUGCGGAAGGAUCAUUACAAAUCAUUGCAAUCCCGGCCUAUCUAUUGGCUGGGUGAGCACAUUGGCACAGGGCUGCAGCAGCACUAGCUGCUUGCAGCUUUGAUGUUUACGCUUGUAUGUUUGACAGAGUAAAUUGUGACUAAAAAUAUAGACAACUUUUAACAAUGGAUCUCUUGGCUCUU
Molecule: unclassified non-coding RNA, 212 nt
Filed under: Rozellomycota sp.
Lineage: Eukaryota; Fungi; Rozellomycota
Description: Cryptomycota sp. partial contains small subunit ribosomal RNA, internal transcribed spacer 1, and 5.8S ribosomal RNA
Rfam family: Eukaryotic small subunit ribosomal RNA (bases 1-47)
Source: RNAcentral